CCUGUGCGACAGAGUGAGACUCCAUCUCACAAAAAAAAAGACAUUAUUCUCAUGAAAACAGUCAUGACAGUCAUGAACAAGUAGUCCUAUUUGUACAAAAUGAAAUACAAAUGACUAAUAAAUAGGUAAAAAGAUAUUCAACUUCACCAAUAACAAAGGAAUGUAAGUUAGAAAAAAAGAAAUGUAAUUUUCACUCAUCAGAGUAACAAACUUUUAUCAUAUCAAAUAUUGAUGAUGUUGUAAAGAAAUGAAUACUCUUUUUUACAGCUUAGUAGUAUUCCAUGGUAUACGUAUAUUCUGUAUUUUCUUUAUCCACUCAUUGGUUGAUGGGCACUUAGGUUGAUUCCAUAUCUUUGCAAUUGUGAAUUGUGCUGUGAUAAAUAUACACUGUUUUUGUAAGUAUAAAUUUUUGCAGCUAUUUACAGUACAAUUUUGGCAGUGUCUAUUAGAGUGAAAAAUAAUGUCUCCUCUGACUCAGCAAUUCAUUUCUGUUUCUACCUUAAGGAUGCACUUGCAUGUGCCCUGUAUGAAAGUACAAGCAUGUUAACUGCAGCAGUGUUAGUUACAGGCAAAAUUGGAAAUGAACAUCAAAACUGGGAUAAGAGCACCAUGGUAAAUCUGGACUAUGUAGUACUUGCAAAAGAUGCAGAUAAGCCUACGUGUACCAAUGUGGAAAGGUCUGUGAAACAUAUUGUUCACUGCAAAAAAUAACAAUUCCAAAAAAAGAAGUAUAGAUAAAAAAAUUUGGGUAUAAAAUCAACCCACAUACAAAAUAUAGAUCUUUGUAUAGUUGCAUACCUCUCUACAUGUUUGUAUAUGUUUUACAUACGUAUCUAUCUCUAUCUAUCAUCUAUCUCUCUCUCUCUCUAUCUAUCUAUCUCUCUAUCAUCUAUCUAUCUAUCUAUCUAUCAAGAGAUUGAUUUCAAUUCAAAGUAAAGUAACAGUAUAUUUGGAUGCAGAGCAAACAUAAGAGUGGCCUCCUCUACAAAAGGGACUCAAGAUAGAAAUCUGAAAAGCACAGAAAACUACAAAGGUAAAAAUAAACAACUAUAUUCCUAUGGUACCUUCUUUUAGCAUUUUUCUCUAUAUCCUUCCAGCCAUUUUUCUAUAUAGGUAUAGGGCAAGUUGGAAGUCUUGAUCUGCAGCAAAGGACCUUAUUUUAGAGGCAAAAAAUAUAUUAGUGUUAGUGAAUAGAUGUAGAAGAAAUUGAAAUCUGUGAACUCUGAGAAUUCAGGGGACGAUGUACCGAUCACUGACACCUUGGGGAGAAACAGACAAUGGGGAGAUAAACUGUGAAAUGUGCCCAUUGCUGGAACUUGAAGAGUGGAUGAGGAGUUUGAUGGAAUGGUAUGGAGGGGCCAAAUGCCACUGAAUCACUCAGGCACCCUCCUCCCCCAGUCACCUUAAUCAUGCCCUGUUUAUACAAACAAUAGCACAAUGAGAAAAAUGUAGAUACAACUGGAGGAACCCACCCAGGAAAAGUGUUUGGUAGAGUUUUGCAGAAGAUAGGAUAAGAUCUAGAGGAGAAGAAUUGGAAUUAUAAAUACAGUGGUUAAUUCUAGGCUCUACAUGUGUGGGAAUUUGGGCCAAUUUUGCUUUUAUAUUUCCCAGGGGAAAAAUGUCUGUUUCAACUAUAUUUUCAAAUUUAUUAUUAUAAAGUUUUUCAUAGUGUUAAUAUCUUCUUGAAAUUUUCAAACAUCAUACUUAUCCACGUGUCAGGAUUUUUUGGUUUUUAAUGUUAUUUGUUUCUUAUCCUUCUUGAUCCUAUUUGCCUAGGGUUUAUCUGUUUUAUGAGUCAUUUCAAAGAACAAGUUUUGGUUUUGCUGAUUAACUCAUUUCUGGGGAGGGAAAAUGUUUUUCAUUAAUUACAGUUUCUAGCUUAUAUUUUGUUCUUUCGAAUUUCGUUGGGUUUAUUUUCUUCCAUUUCCCUGUCCACUAAUGGGAUUUUGGAUUUCCUCUUCUCUGCAUUGCCUGUACAUUGCCUGGAGGCAGCAACGCAUAUGGCUAAUAAAACAUAUUGAGGAUGAAUGAGAAAACAACCUGGUUCCUGGAAGGAGAGAAACAAGGUGGAGUCUUCUCACAGAAACAAGGAGAAGGUCAGAGAGACCUCCGGGAGCAUCUCAUCUUGGAGACACCACAAGCUCAAGAGGCUGCAUUAGCGUUUUUUAUUGGAGGCAUUUUCUUUUCCUCCAGAUUUUGUUUUUGACUGUUAAGGUCAUAGCUACAAACAAUUGAUCAAGCCUAAAAGGGCAUUUAUAAACCACCUGCAUCUACAUUUUUUUCUUACUGUGGAUGGAUUUAAAAAGCCGUUUCAAGAUGAAAUCUUAUGAGUCAUUAUCAUGUCUUCUGAGGGCUGAGAUAUAACUUUGAAGUAGAGCCCAAACAUGAAGAUCAUGAAGAUGGCUUCUUCUCCAAAUGAUGUUAUCUUAAAAACUUGAAAAAGACAAAAAAAAAAAAAAAAAAAAAGAAGAAGAAAAAGAAAAAAGAAAGAAAAAAAGAGAGAGCGAGCCAAGGGAACUUGAAUCAGACAAACCUGGUUCAAAGUGAUUAUUCAACAAAUGUAAGCUGUUAUCAUCUUGUCCUCCAUCAUUCAAAUAUGUCCUGUAUAGAUCUUCCAUUAAUUUCAAAUAUCUAAUGAUCUACACCAUCAAAUAUUAUGAAGGUGAUGUUUAGCAGGUCAUUGGCUAAGACAGGCUCUACCUCAGUCUCUAAUAGAGAAGGAAAGACAAGUAGCAUUUACUAACACCCACAGUAUGCUUCAUAUUGUUGCCAGAAAUUUCAAAUGCACCAUCUAUUGAUGCAUGGAAUCCUUUCAACAUUCUUAGAAGACAAGACCUCCACCCUCUGCAAAACAUCUUCCCAGGAUUAUGGGAAGUGCCCAAGAUGUGGUCACGGGUGUACCACAGCCAGUUGGCUUCUGUGGUACUCUGCCGCUGCGCCUGCCUCCACUUCUGUGGUUCAUCCCCAACUCCCAUGGAAGUUGGAGCACUUUCACGGAACCCUGCGGUUCUUUCCAACAUGCAGCAGCCACCAGCCACAGUCACCUGCAACCACAAAUCAGCAAAGCCCCACAGCCCCGAAUCUCCACUGAGGUUUGUAAUGAAGUGGGACUUCAAGUUUAAGUCUUUCUCCGAGGCUAUUACGGCCUGCCAGUAGGGGCUCUCCAUGUGCACUGCUCAAACCAUUAUGCUCUAUAACUGUUUUCAGUGUAAGGCUCUUUACGCUUUGUUAGUAAUCUCUUGCUCUCCGGAGCCCAGAGAGUGACAGAUUCGUAACAGACCCCUGUUCACUCCUCGUUGCCUCUCCCCUGUGCUGAGAGGGCUUCUCAUUGGCUCAGGUGCAUCCCCUGUGCUGCUUCUCCCCUCAGGAUGCCCUCUUCAUCUAGAGGUUUCUCCAGGGAACCUGCCUGGCUCACUCACCUAACAAGCUAAGAAAUGUCUGAACCGUCUUUAAAUUCAAGCCAGGAGCCUAGAAGUAGUCCUAGGGAAAACGAAACAAAACAAAACAAAACAAAACAAAACCAACAAACAAACAAACACGACUGGAAAGAAAUACAUGGAGAAGUUAACAGGAGGGCUCCUUGGAGAGAUGGUUAAUUCUGGGGCUGGCCUGGGAAGGAUGAGAUGAGGCUGAAGCACCUUGCUGUGCCGGAACAUCAGGACGUGCUCAAAAAGUGAUGAGGCCAGGGCCUGAUGGAAGAGGCUCCCAGCAACCAAACCUGCCAAGGUUUGAGCACCAAAAAAACAGCAACAGUGAUUCUAUAACCCAUGAGAAUAAAAGAAUCAGUCCAUGAUGACAUAGGUAAGUAAAUAAAGAGAAAUACAUAGAAAGCUUCUUUUUACAGUAGAAUUUCAACUAAUAAAUAUCCAAGAGAUGAUGGGGAAAAUGUUGAAGUGGUUUAUCACAUAGAUGAGACCAUGGAUUUUUUUUCUUUUUUCUGAUCACCCUUUCUAAUUAUUUUUAUUUUUUUGCAAUGAAUAAUUGCUUGUAUAAUAAAAAUGCAAAAAGUCACCUGCAGUAGAUCGCCUGUGAAGUUAUAUUCUUAUUGUAUCUCUCAUGAGCGACAUUUGUCUCCUACUUUUAUGCUAAUGAAUUUUUGAUAGGCCCUAUCUUGCAUUUCUUUUUCCUAUUUACGUAUUUUAGAAAGAGGACAGCACAGGUGCUUCCCAGCAGGGCCACCCUGCACAAAGGCACCCAGUAGGCUGCAGAGUGAGGCUGAAAGUUAACCCCUGAUCUUUGCGUUAAACUGUGACGACUGGUGCACGGUUGCAUCUGCCCAUAAGGCCACUGUUUCCUAACUCACACAUGAUUCUGUCCUAGCUGCUGUGUCCUUCAAAAUAGUCUGUGUGGGUUUACCUGGUUGCUGCUAGAAUUCUUCUUUUUGAUCUCAAGGUCAAAGCCUGGUGGCAUGAACAGCAUUACCUGUUCAGCCGUGCGUCACUAAAGGUGUGAGGAGGUUGAGAUCAAGAGCAGUCUAGUUAGGAAGUGUCAUCUCUUCAAGUUUCCUCCCCUGAGUUUGUUGAACUUGCAGGGCAUGAGGUCACCUUCCUCAUCUGAUUUUCCCAUUCUCUAUUCCAAAUACAUGGCAUGGCUGUGGCCAGAUUCUUGCCACUCUAGGAGGUGAGUGGAAGGAUGUCCAGUUGCUUUAGGAAACUGUUCUUCCAUCACUGAGAAGCCAGGCCAGCUCACAAUUUAUGUUUCAUGAGGAUUACUUGUUCUUUCAGAAGUCACUGACAAAUGUUGGUCCCUACUGGCAAUGAGGUAGCUCUGCAUCUUUUCUCAGAACCACUCUGACAGGUAACUCUUGCCUCUCUCUAAUUCAGAGAUGUUGGUGAAAUACUCCUCUGCUCCGUUUACUCUGCAUCACUUUCUAGGAAAGAAAAGUGAUGAGUCAGCUCUUGACACUGUGCCUUCAGUGUGAUCCCCCUACAUUCUAGAAAACAGCAAUGCCUCAAAGCUGAUUCUCAACGCUGCUACAGGCUUUUUCUCUAUUUGGGGUUUCUAUUGAUUCUUUCCGUCAUUAUCUUUCCUAAAAGGGCAGCGUAUAAAGGGGAAUAGUUGCACAAAGGGGUAUUUUAAGAAUAAUUCGCCUUUAGGUGUGUGCUUCCAGAAGACACUGGUGGAGAAACUACUUCUGUGGGAGAAAAAGUACAGUGGCCUCUAGGGUGAGAACUCAAGGUGUCAGCAGCACCUACAUAAAGCAAGACACCAGCCAUGUGCCACCACACUGCCACCAGGAGACAGGUCCUGCUUGUGUUGAUCCCUGGUGACAUGACCAGAACCAAAACAAACGAACAAACAAACAAACAAACAACCUUAAAGUAGGUAAAGAUCUUGAAGGUGGCAAAAUGAUGCCAAUCCAAGAAGAAACCAAUUCCUAAUGUGAAAUGGAUACACUGACCCUGCCAACCAAGGGCAUUGUCUUUCCCAGUUUGAACAAAACCACAAUCCAUUAACUCCAGUAUUGAUGAUUUUCUUCUAUUCUAGGCCCUGAGCUCUUUUUGGGUCAACUGCAGCUGCAACUCUAGAGCGACAAUAAGGAUGUGUUUGAGGUGCUGAGGGAGGAGGAGGAUGGAGUGAGAAGGUGACAACAUUCAGCCAGGUGCCCCCAAAACAUGGAGGCAAGAGAAAGAGAAUUUGUCCAAGUGCAAGGUCUGCAGGCAGUGCAGGGCAGCUACCAGCAGGGCCCAUUUUUAUGGGAUUGUGAAAGGUGAUUCUGGAAAGGCAGGCAGCAGCUACAACAUGAAAGAUCUUUGGACUGUGUCUGUAUAUGAUAAGAAGUCAAAGAAGUAUCUUUAAAACAAGAGGAGCAAAGAGAGCUCAUCCUGGUAACAGAUGGAGGGUUAGGCUUGCCUAAGUUUACAGAAGUAGGUAAUGACAGGGCUAAGAGAGAACUCAGCUCAUUUUAAUUCCAUAUUGCUUAUCUUUCUCUUGUGCUUUGCAGUGUGUGUGUGUAUGUGUGUGUGUGCGUGUGUGUAGGGAGGAGGGGUGAGAUUGGCAAAAGUUGAGCCAGAUUAUACUGAUUAAUUAGUUCAACACCCAUUUUGCUGAGAGCAUACCGUGCCCACAGUGCUGAGUUGAGCAAACUUAAGAGGUGAUAUGAAAGGAGCAAAAGUGCUUAAAAAUCUGGGAAAGGGUAUCCAUCCCUGGUGCAUUGGUUUUGAUUAUUCCUCAGCUAUAUAAACAUCCAAAGAGAUGACCUCAUAUAUUCCACAGGCAUGACCGAAGAUUAUGGCACAGAUGUUCUGAAAUAAACAAUGUUAGUGCAAGCACAUAGCUGCACAGUCCUGUAAUGGUCCCGAGAAGAGCUUAGACCAUUUUUUUAAAAAACAUAAACCACAAGUUAAGGCUAAAUCAGAAAGAAAAUAGAAACCUUUCUUCAUCUGCUCUGUUCUUGGUUUCAUGUUUUAUAGAUGGCCUGGGAAGCCCUCUGCACGCCUUUCUCAACUAAGGAAUUUGUGGAAGUAGAAUUUCUUCUGUUGACAGAAUUCUGCUGAGAACUGAAUUUUCUGCUGUUUUCAUUACUCUUUUCUAAAUGUUUCACAGUUCUGUUUUUUUUACAGCCAGAUUUCCAUUUGAUACUGGUUGUGGUUACACUAAAAGUAACAUCUAUGGCCAAAUGGCUGGAAAUUUUACAUUUUUGACACCGAGAUUUUUCCUGUACUUCACGGAGGGCAAGGGUUAUACCCUAUUUUUUCCCAGUCUCCCACAGUGCCCAACCCAGACGACCGUACAUAAUAAGCGCUUUAUUCUCAGCACUGCUGUAUGCCUCAUUGGAACAGGAUGCCCAAGGUGAUGGCUGCAGAAAUGGAUGGAUUGGAGCGUGACUUGCCAAGACAGGUAUGUAGAAAUUAUUGUGGAGUGACGUGGCAUGAUCUCAGCUUACUGCAGCCUCAACCUCCCGGGCACAGGUGAUUCUCCAACCUCAGCCUUGGAGUAGC
This 6941-nucleotide long non-coding RNA is filed under the name Homo sapiens (human). RNAcentral describes it as "HSALNT0382605". Lineage: Eukaryota; Metazoa; Chordata; Mammalia; Primates; Hominidae. The record is from RNAcentral.